UUCCGGUUGAUCCCGCCGGACCUGACUGCUAUCGGAUUGAUACUAAGCCAUGCGAGUCUUUGUAGUAAUACAAGGCAGACGGCUCAGUAACGCGUAGUCAACCUACCCUAUGGACGGGAAUAAUCUCGGGAAACUGAGCAUAAUACCCGGCGUACCAUCAUUCCUGGAAUGGUUGGUGGUUAAAAUGAUUCGUCGCCGUAGGAUGGGACUGCGACCUAUCAGCUUGUUGGUGGGGUAAUGGCCCACCAAGGCGAUUACAGGUACGGGCUCUGAGAGGAGAAGCCCGGAGAUGGGUACUGAGACACGGACCCAGGCCCUAUGGGGCGCAGCAGGCGAGAAAACUUUGCAAUGUGCGAAAGCACGACAAGGUUAAUCCGAGUGAUUUCUGCUAAAGGAAUCUUUUGCCAGUUCUAAAAAUACUAGUGAAUAAGGGGUGGGCAAGUUCUGGUGUCAGCCGCCGCGGUAAAACCAGCACCUCAAGUGGUCAGGAGGAUUAUUGGGCCUAAAGCAUCCGUAGCCUGCUCUGUAAGUUUUCGGUUAAAUCUAUAUGCUCAACGUAUAGGCCGCCGAAAAUACUGCAGUGCUAGGAAGUGGGAGAGGUAGACGGUACUUGAUAGGAAGGGGUAAAAUCCUUUGAUCUAUCGAUGACCACCUGUGGCGAAGGCGGUCUACCAGAACACGUUCGACGGUGAGGGAUGAAAGCUGGGGGAGCAAACCGGAUUAGAUACCCGGGUAGUCCCAGCUGUAAACGAUGCAGACUCGAUGAUGCAUUGGCAUAUAGCCAGUGCAGUGUCGCAGGGAAGCCGUUAAGUCUGCCGCCUGGGAAGUACGUACGCAAGUAUGAAACUAAAGGAAUGGGCGGGGGAGCACCACAAGGGGUGAAGCCUGCGUUCAAUUGAUUCAACGCCGGA
This 911-nucleotide ribosomal RNA is filed under the name uncultured marine group I thaumarchaeote. RNAcentral describes it as "bacterial SSU rRNA". It matches the Rfam family "Archaeal small subunit ribosomal RNA", at positions 1 to 922 of the family's 1478-position model. The record is from RNAcentral. Lineage: Archaea; Thermoproteati; Nitrososphaerota.